This 523-nucleotide ribosomal RNA is filed under the name uncultured Bacillus sp. Its description in RNAcentral is "partial 16S ribosomal RNA". It matches the Rfam family "Bacterial small subunit ribosomal RNA", at positions 14 to 531 of the family's 1533-position model. Lineage: Bacteria; Bacillati; Bacillota; Bacilli; Caryophanales; Bacillaceae. The record is from RNAcentral.
UGAUCCUGGCUCAGGACGAACGCUGGCGGCGUGCYUAAUACAUGCAAGUCGAGCGAACCAYUUCGGUGGUUAGCGGCGGACGGGUGAGUAACACGUGGGCAACCUGCCUGUAAGACUGGGAUAACUUCGGGAAACCGGAGCUAAUACCGGAUAAUCCUUUUCCUCUCAUGAGGGAAAGCUGAAAGACGGUUUCGGCUGUCACUUACAGAUGGGCCCGCGGCGCAUUAGCUAGUUGGUGAGGUAACGGCUCACCAAGGCGACGAUGSGUAGCCGACCUGAGAGGGUGAUCGGCCACACUGGGACUGAGACACGGCCCAGACUCCUACGGGAGGCAGCAGUAGGGAAUCUUCCMCAAUGGMCGAAAGUCUGAUGGAGCAACGCCGCGUGAGCGAUGAAGGCCUUCGGGUCGUAAAGCUCUGUUGUUAGGGAAGAACAAGUACCGGAGUAACUGCCGGUACCUUGACGGUACCUAACCARAARGCCACGGCUAACUACGUGCCAGCAGCCGCGGKRAUASYKUWCG